ACUUUUUGCUGCUCCUUGGAGCAGUCAGGCUGAGAUCCUCUGCAGUCCUCUGCGGUUAAGGAAGAUGGUGUGAAAAAGAAGCCACAGAGGGAGCACCUGUGCAACUAGCAGGAGGAAAUGUUGUUUUGGGAAUAGAAGAAUUAAUUGCUAGAUGUUAUGGCCGUGUGGAAAAUUAGGUCACCCUAAUUUUUCGUACUAUUUUAAGGGCAGGUAACUAAUCACAAAGCAGUAGUGUAAUAAGGUCAGAGCGUUUUUAUGGGGCUGUUAGACAAGUCACAGACACAGACACAAGUGGGAGAGCUCCCAGGAUGUGAGCUUAGCAAAGGAGCAGCUCAGCAAAAGUUUUGCUCAGUAUCCUACCAUAUCAACACUUUAUGCAUUUUCUGAUUAAUCAUAAAAUCUCAUCCAGCUGACUUCCAAAGCCAACUGGAUCAGGUAGCCCUCUGUUCCUUAGACACAGAGCCCCUCCCUGUCCUUCUCCAACAGAAAUUCUCCAGGAAAUGUCUGAUGUAAACCAUGCCAAGGUGCCACCAGGCUGGAUUUUUUGCUACAGUUUUAGUAUUUCUCUGGAUUUGACUUGUUCCUUACAAUGACAAUUAUUUUGGUUAUACAAAACAUCUGUCCUAUCUUUUCUCCUUGACAUGUAGAAGUUUGAACACUGCUGUAUUUUACUGGAUUAUUUUCUCCUUUUUUUUUUCUUUUCUUCUUUUUAAAUUCUGUUUUGACAGCCAAUCAAUUUUUUACCUCCCUUUGAAGAAGUUACUCAAAAGGAUAGGAACACAUGAGCUAACUUCAGGGAUGGUAAAGGAGAGGUAUUUUUAGAGUAAGGGGAACACAAAAAAGAACUGGUUUAUUUAUUGUAAAAAGUUGUGGAGGUCCUUAGCUUUGAGGCAGGCUGAUGGCAUGUCUGCCACACUCAUGACAGACACUUCAAAGUGCAGAGACAGUCUACAGCACUUCAAGGAAUUUCCCACUCUUCAAAUAAUGCUGCAGAAGAAACACUCAAGUACAAGGCAGCACAGCAUUGCAGAAAAUCCAGCACAUUAAUGCAGUACUUUUAGUAUCUUCUCAGUGGAAAGAAAAAUGGACAAAAUAAGAAAUUACUCAGCAGCCAUAGGGAACUGGUGUCUAGGUCUGGAACUAUAAUUAUACCCUAGGCUUAAAUUAUUUGCAUUUUUACUGCAAAGUAGAUUGUGGAUAAAAGGUUAAAGUCUAAAUCCAAAGUAACAGACCCUCUUCUUCAGGCUUUGAUCCAAGAAUCUGUGUUUGUGGCUGUGUAAGGACUGCAUAGUCAUUCCCAGACUACAUUGGAAAGGAAUGAGAAACAACAAAGCUCCUGAAAU
Molecule: long non-coding RNA, 1343 nt
Filed under: Zonotrichia albicollis (white-throated sparrow)
Lineage: Eukaryota; Metazoa; Chordata; Aves; Passeriformes; Passerellidae
Description: lncRNA (ENSZALG00000013518.1)
Source: RNAcentral